This 72-nucleotide transfer RNA is filed under the name candidate division TA06 bacterium B3_TA06. Its description in RNAcentral is "tRNA-Thr". It matches the Rfam family "tRNA". Rfam says of the family: Transfer RNA (tRNA) molecules are approximately 80 nucleotides in length. Their secondary structure includes four short double-helical elements and three loops (D, anti-codon, and T loops). Further hydrogen bonds mediate the characteristic L-shaped molecular structure. tRNAs have two regions of fundamental functional importance: the anti-codon, which is responsible for specific mRNA codon recognition, and the 3' end, to which the tRNAs corresponding amino acid is attached (by aminoacyl-tRNA synthetases). tRNAs cope with the degeneracy of the genetic code in two manners: having more than one tRNA (with a specific anti-codon) for a particular amino acid; and 'wobble' base-pairing, i.e. permitting non-standard base-pairing at the 3rd anti-codon position. The record is from RNAcentral. RNAcentral also lists the same sequence under 1 other name.
GCCGACGUAGCUCAGUUGUAGAGCAACGCUUUCGUAACGCGUAGGCCAGUGGUUCGAAUCCACUCGUCGGCU